UACGGAGGGUGCGAGCGUUGUCCGGAUUUAUUGGGUUUAAAGGGUGCGUAGGCGGCCUUAUAAGUCCGGGGUGAAAGCCCGUUGCUCAACAACGGAACUGCCCUGGAUACUGUGAGGCUUGAGUACAGACGAGGUUGGCGGAAUGGACCGAGUAGCGGUGAAAUGCAUAGAUACAGUCCAGAACCCCGAUUGCGAAGGCAGCUGACUAGGCUGUUACUGACGCUGAGGCACGAAAGCGUGGGGAGCGAACAGG
This 253-nucleotide ribosomal RNA is filed under the name uncultured bacterium. Its description in RNAcentral is "partial 16S ribosomal RNA". It matches the Rfam family "Bacterial small subunit ribosomal RNA", at positions 524 to 776 of the family's 1533-position model. The record is from RNAcentral.